AAGUCGUAACAAGGUAACCGUAGGUGAACCUGCGGUUGGAUCAUUACCGAUUUUGCCGGGGGUCGAGUCAUUUUGAUUCCCCCUGGCGAUAUACCACUGUGCACUGAAUGUAUUUUGGGCCAUGCCCAGCAUUAUGAACCAACGAAAUUUUUUGUCUUUUAUUCUAAAUAGAAACAACUUUUGACAACGGAUCUCUUGGCUCUC
This 204-nucleotide unclassified non-coding RNA is filed under the name fungal sp. Its description in RNAcentral is "partial internal transcribed spacer region". The stretch from base 1 to 46 matches the Rfam family "Eukaryotic small subunit ribosomal RNA", at positions 1786 to 1831 of the family's 1831-position model. Lineage: Eukaryota; Fungi. The record is from RNAcentral.